GGGUGAGUAAUGCAUAGGAAUCUGCCUGGUAGUGGGGGACAACGUUUCGAAAGGAACGCUAAUACCGCAUACGUCCUACGGGAGAAAGCAGGGGACCUUCGGGCCUUGCGCUAUCAGAUGAGCCUAGGUCGGAUUAGCUAGUUGGUGAGGUAAUGGCUCACCAAGGCGACGAUCCGUAACUGGUCUGAGAGGAUGAUCAGUCACACUGGAACUGAGACACGGUCCAG
RNAcentral lists this ribosomal RNA (227 nucleotides) under uncultured Pseudomonadales bacterium. RNAcentral describes it as "partial 16S ribosomal RNA". It matches the Rfam family "Bacterial small subunit ribosomal RNA", at positions 104 to 334 of the family's 1533-position model. The record is from RNAcentral. Lineage: Bacteria; Pseudomonadati; Pseudomonadota; Gammaproteobacteria; Pseudomonadales.